Molecule: RNA transcript, 2899 nt
Organism: Populus nigra (black poplar)
Lineage: Eukaryota; Viridiplantae; Streptophyta; Magnoliopsida; Malpighiales; Salicaceae
Gene name: lysine-specific histone demethylase 1 homolog 1
Exons: 3
Source: RefSeq, a predicted model, not a curated record
AUUUACGCCUUGAGCUAAAUGGAAACAACCGCUGAACCUCCUCAGGACCCCUCCGAUAAUGCAAACGAUGUCGUUUCCGAGGACUCGUCACCAGAAACCGACCUCAACAAUCACCAAAACUCGCCGGAAACCAACCUCCCACCUUCAUCUGAAACCCAGUCUCCACUUCCCAAUACAAUACUCGACGCUCCAGUUUCAGACUCCCAAGACGACUCUUCUGACCCCAUACAGCCACCCCAAAACCCUAACUCCACAUUCCCUGCUCCACCUCCCAAAAAACGACGCCGUAGAAAACGCUUCUUUACCGAAAUCAACGGCAAUCCCCCCUUCCGCCGCCACAGAAUUGGCGGCGGUCUCUCAAAAGAAGUCGAUGUCGAAGCGUUAAUAGCGAUCUCCGUCGGGUUUCCUGUCGAUUCGUUAACUGAAGAAGAAAUUGAAGCUAACGUGGUGUCUACCAUUGGCGGCACGGAGCAAGCUAAUUAUAUUGUCGUGAGAAACCAUAUUCUUAGUCGCUGGAGAUCCAGUGUCUCUGUUUGGUUAACGCGUGAUCAUGCGCUCGAGUCGAUUCGGGCCGAGCACAAAGCCUUAGUUGAUUCUGCUUAUAAUUUUCUGCUACAACAUGGCUACAUUAACUUUGGCGUGGCGCUGUCUAUUAAAGAAGCGCAGUUGAAAUUAAAUGAGGGAGUGGAGAGAGCCAAUGUGGUUGUUGUGGGUGCAGGACUCGCGGGGUUGGUUGCGGCGAGGCAGUUAAUGGCUAUGGGUUUUAAGGUUGUUGUUUUGGAAGGGAGGGCUCGGCCGGGUGGGCGUGUGAAGACUAUGAUUUUGAAGGGGGAAGGAGUGGUGGCUGCGGCGGAUCUUGGUGGGAGUGUUCUCACUGGAAUAAAUGGAAAUCCACUUGGAGUUCUAGCGAGGCAAAUGGGAUUGCCAUUGCAUAAGGUGAGAGAUAUUUGCCCUUUGUAUUUGCCGGAUGGGAAGGCUGUUGAUUCCGAGAUUGAUUCUAGGAUAGAGGCUUCUUUUAAUAAGUUAUUAGAUAGAGUUUGUAAGCUUAGACAGGCUAUGAUCGAGGAAGUUAAAUCUGUAGAUGUUAAUUUAGGGACCGCUCUUGAAGCAUUUAGGCAUGUUUAUAAGGUGGCUGAGGAUCCACAAGAGCUAAUGUUAUUAAAUUGGCAUCUUGCGAAUUUGGAAUAUGCGAAUGCUUCAUUAAUGUCUAAUUUGUCUAUGGCAUAUUGGGAUCAGGACGAUCCUUAUGAAAUGGGGGGUGAUCAUUGUUUUAUUCCAGGAGGCAAUGAUACUUUUGUUAGAGAGCUUGCGAAGGACCUUCCGAUUUUCUAUGAGAAGACGGUGGAGAGUAUAAGAUAUGGGGUUGAUGGGGUUAUUGUUUAUGCGGGUAGACAGGGAUUCCGUGGGGAUAUGGUGCUUUGCACCGUCCCUUUGGGUGUGCUUAAGAAGGGAUCAAUUGAAUUCGUCCCCGAGCUUCCACAAAGAAAGAAAGAUGCAAUUCAAAGACUAGGAUAUGGGUUACUAAAUAAGGUGGCGUUAUUGUUUCCCUAUAAUUUUUGGGGUGGAGAAAUUGAUACAUUUGGUCAUUUGACAGAAGAUCCAAGCAUGAGAGGCGAGUUUUUUCUGUUUUAUAGCUACUCAUCUGUUUCAGGGGGUGCUCUUUUAAUUGCUCUUGUUGCUGGGGAUGCUGCGGUUAAGUUUGAGACAAUGUCUCCAGUGGAUUCUGUGAAAAGGGUCCUUGGCAUAUUGCGAGGUAUUUUCCAUCCAAAAGGGAUUGUUGUUCCAGAUCCAGUUCAAUCGGUUUGCACUCGCUGGGGAAAAGAUUGCUUCACGUAUGGAUCUUAUUCAUAUGUUGCAGUGGGGUCUUCAGGAGACGAUUAUGAUAUUCUUGCUGAGAGCGUGGGGGAUGGAAGGGUUUUCUUUGCAGGAGAGGCGACAAACAAACAGUAUCCAGCAACAAUGCAUGGAGCUUUUCUUAGUGGGAUGAGAGAGGCUGCUAACAUAUUGAGAGUGGCCAACAGAAGGCCAUUAUCUGUGAUUGACAAAGUAAAUAAUAGCCUUGAGGAAAUUGACGAUCUUAAUGAAUUAUAUGACACCCCUAAUCUGAAAUUCGGGAGCUUCUCUAUUUUGUUUGAUCCCAGGUCAAAUGAUGGGGAAUCUCUGUCAUUGUUGAGGGUCAAAUUCCAAGGAGGAGAAUCAGAUUCUUGUUUUCUAUGUCUUUAUGGUUUGAUUUCUAGGAAGCAGGCUGUUGAACUUAGUGAGCUACAAGACGAUGGAAAGAGGAUGGAAAUGCUGUAUAAUAACUUUCAGAUAAGGUUAGUUGGAAGGAAAGGUUUGCCUAAUGCUGGGGAAUCUCUUCUAACAUACAUCAAAGAGGCUAGAUCCAAACUAAAUGUAGGGAAUUGAGAUUGAAAAUUCUCCCAUGUGCUAUGCCCCAUAGGAUUUUAUGUGGUCGGGUUUUCCACUUGGCAAUUUGAGCCAGGGUUUCUUUUCUACUUGUUCAUGCUUGAUUGUUGCCUGGGACAUCGGGGUCUGCUGGGUGUGCUCCUUCUACCUUCUCGCCAGGCUUUUGAAGCUUCUUGGGCUAGCGUGAAAUUUUCAAAUGACGGGCCUAAAACACAAGCCAUCCUCAACACCAACGGAUUCCAUUGUCGUAACGUCGAAUUACGGUUGGAGAAGCAGGAAGGGUUGGAAGCCGUCGCUUCCGCUCACACAGUGCACUGUGCCAACAACAAGAAAAGUGGAUUAGUGCGUAAAUCAUAAAUCAAUAUCUUGAAAAUAUGAUUAUCUGCUGCCCUAAACGACAAGGUGGACGUCUGAUAGCAUGUUUGGGAGUGUAACAAGGUGCAAUUAUAAUUGUUUUUUAAAAUAAUUUUUAUUUAAAAAUAUAUUAAAAUAA